CGGCGGACGGGUGAGUAAUGCUUAGGAAUCUGCCUAUUAGUGGGGGACAACAUUCCGAAAGGAAUGCUAAUACCGCAUACGUCCUACGGGAGAAAGCAGGGGACCUUCGGGCCUUGCGCUAAUAGAUGAGCCUAAGUCGGAUUAGCUAGUUGGUGGGGUAAAGGCCUACCAAGGCGACGAUCUGUAGCGGGUCUGAGAGGAUGAUCCGCCACACUGGGACUGAGACACGGCCCAGACUCCUACGGGAGGCAGCAGUGGGGAAUAUUGGACAAUGGGGGGAACCCUGAUCCAGCCAUGCCGCGUGUGUGAAGAAGGCCUUUUGGUUGUAAAGCACUUUAAGCGAGGAGGAGGCUACUAGUAUUAAUACUACUGGAUGGUGGACGUUACUCGCAGAAUAAGCACCGGCUAACUCUGUGCCAGCAGCCGCGGUAAUACAGAGGGUGCGAGCGUUAAUCGGAUUUACUGGGCGUAAAGCGUGCGUAGGCGGCUGAUUAAGUCGGAUGUGAAAUCCCUGAGCUUAACUUAGGAAUUGCAUUCGAUACUGGUCAGCUAGAGUAUGGGAGAGGAUGGUAGAAUUCCAGGUGUAGCGGUGAAAUGCGUAGAGAUCUGGAGGAAUACCGAUGGCGAAGGCAGCCAUCUGGCCUAAUACUGACGCUGAGGUACGAAAGCAUGGGGAGCAAACAGGAUUAGAUACCCUGGUAGUCCAUGCCGUAAACGAUGUCUACUAGCCGUUGGGGCCUUUGAGGCUUUAGUGGCGCAGCUAACGCGAUAAGUAGACCGCCUGGGGAGUACGGUCGCAAGACUAAAACUCAAAUGAAUUGACGGGGGCCCG
RNAcentral lists this ribosomal RNA (832 nucleotides) under uncultured bacterium. RNAcentral's name for it is "bacterial SSU rRNA". It matches the Rfam family "Bacterial small subunit ribosomal RNA", at positions 96 to 923 of the family's 1533-position model. The record is from RNAcentral.